RNAcentral lists this ribosomal RNA (490 nucleotides) under uncultured bacterium. Its description in RNAcentral is "partial 16S ribosomal RNA". It matches the Rfam family "Bacterial small subunit ribosomal RNA", at positions 30 to 507 of the family's 1533-position model. The record is from RNAcentral.
AUUGAACGCUGGCGGCAGGCCUAACACAUGCAAGUCGAACGGUAACAGGAAGCAGCUUGCUGCUUUGCUGACGAGUGGCGAACGGGUGAGUAAUGUCUGGGAAACUGCCCGAUGGAGGGGGAUAACUACUGGAAACGGUAGCUAAUACCGCAUAACGUCGCAGGACCAAAGAGGGGGACCUUAGGGCCUCUUGCCAUCGGAUGUGCCCAGAUGGGAUUAGCUAGUAGGUGGGGUAACGGCUCACCUAGGCGACGAUCCCUAGCUGGUCUGAGAGGAUGACCAGCCACACUGGAACUGAGACACGGUCCAGACUCCUACGGGAGGCAGCAGUGGGGAAUAUUGCACAAUGGGCGCAAGCCUGAUGCAGCCAUGCCGCGUGUAUGAAGAAGGCCUUCGGGUUGUAAAGUACUUUCAGCGGGGAGGAAGGGAGUAAAGUUAAUACCUUUGCUCAUUGACGUUACCCGCAGAAGAAGCACCGGCUAACUCCGUG